Long non-coding RNA from Neofelis nebulosa (Clouded leopard), 374 nucleotides. RefSeq lists it as uncharacterized. Lineage: Eukaryota; Metazoa; Chordata; Mammalia; Carnivora; Felidae. The transcript has 2 exons. The record is from RefSeq and is a predicted model, not a curated record.
ACAAAGGGCUGUCACACCUCUUUCCCAUUCUUCAAUAUACAGUGCUUUGUACAUAGAGGACGUUCAUAUGUCUAUUUCUUUUUUUUACUGAUGGACUUCCAGACCAGCUAGGAAGUCACAGAACACUACUGCAUUUACAGAAGAUGCAGCAAAGACUGUAUCCUGGGAGUCAAUACGUCUCACUACAAGUUUUUCACGUAAAAAUGCAUACCUGAAACAGCGAUAUGGCAUUAUCUAGAGCAGCAACCAUCACAACCUGCGCACGAGGAUGGAAUUGCACAGACGAAAUCCUGGCUGUAGUAGGACGUUCUGCGUUAGCAUGUUGACAAUUCUUUAUCUGGGGAAAAAUAAAGCUGGAAUUUUAUCAAUUCAAA